UAAGUUGAAGUCCGCUGGCUGGGACAUCUAGUUGUUAAUUAGAGAGGUACGGGAUCGAGGCCCGUCAGCUUAUA
This 74-nucleotide transfer RNA is filed under the name Lygodactylus kimhowelli. Its description in RNAcentral is "tRNA-Asn". Lineage: Eukaryota; Metazoa; Chordata; Lepidosauria; Squamata; Gekkonidae. The record is from RNAcentral.